This 305-nucleotide ribosomal RNA is filed under the name uncultured bacterium. Its description in RNAcentral is "partial 16S ribosomal RNA". It matches the Rfam family "Bacterial small subunit ribosomal RNA", at positions 506 to 807 of the family's 1533-position model. The record is from RNAcentral.
ACAGCAGUAGCCGCGGUAAUACGUAGGGUGCGAGCGUUAAUCGGAAUUACUGGGCGUAAAGCGUGCGCAGGCGGUUGUGUAAGACAGGUGUGAAAUCCCCGGGCUUAACCUGGGAACUGCGCUUGUGACUGCACAGCUAGAGUAUGGCAGAGGGGGGUGGAAUUCCACGUGUAGCAGUGAAAUGCGUAAAGAUGUAGAGGAACACCGAUGGCGAAGGCAGCCCCCUGGGCCAAUACUGACGCUCAUGCACGAAAGCGUGGGGAGCAAACAGGAUUAGAUACCCGCGUAGUCCCUGUCUCUUAUAC